Molecule: ribosomal RNA, 497 nt
Filed under: uncultured bacterium
Lineage: Bacteria
Description: partial 16S ribosomal RNA
Rfam family: Bacterial small subunit ribosomal RNA
Source: RNAcentral
GAUGAACGCUGGCGGCGUGCCUAAUACAUGCAAGUCGAGCGAACAGACGAGGAGCUUGCUCCUCUGACGUUAGCGGCGGACGGGUGAGUAACACGUGGAUAACCUACCUAUAAGACUGGGAUAACUUCGGGAAACCGGAGCUAAUACCGGAUAAUAUAUUGAACCGCAUGGUUCAAUAGUGAAAGACGGUUUUGCUGUCACUUAUAGAUGGAUCCGCGCCGCAUUAGCUAGUUGGUAAGGUAACGGCUUACCAAGGCAACGAUGCGUAGCCGACCUGAGAGGGUGAUCGGCCACAUGGGAACUGAGACACGGUCCAGACUCCUAAGGGAGGCAGCAGUAGGGAAUCUUCCGCAAUGGGCGAAAGCCUGACGGAGCAACGCCGCGUGAGUGAUGAAGGUCUUCGGAUCGUAAAACUCUGUUAUUAGGGAAGAACAAAUGUGUAAGUAACUAUGCACGUCUUGACGGUACCUAAUCAGAAAGCCACGGCUAACUACGUG